CAGGUGUGCAUAACAGCCAAAAAUAUAAACGCAAAUUUCCAAUUUUCUUACAAGCUAGGAUGUGCAAGAAAAGAGGUAUGUAAUAUCAUAUAAUAUGUAAAAGCAGUAAGAUGAAGACCUGUUAAACAAUAAAUGAUACUGUAUUUGCCGAUGUUUACAGUGACAAUGUAAGAAUAUUUUUAUUGUCAUAUUUUGGCAAAAUAGUACAUUUAAAAGGAUGUGAUAUGAGGAAAUCAGAACACAUGGAGCAAACGUGUAAGAACAUAUGAAAAGACUCAUCAGUGACGCCCGAAUAAAAAAAGUAUUAAAAAAGGUCAAAUAAAGUACGAAGUUAAAAAGCAGUGAGGACCAACACUUCUUAAAGUUUUUGCUAAAUACAGCUCAGGUAAUCUGAACCUGGGGAGAAAAGCCUUAGUAUUGCAAACAUUUAGUUUAAACAAUGUUUAUUCAGAUAUCUCAACAUUACAUGAUAUUAUACAAAUAGAAUAAUAUUAAGCAUUCAGAAACAAGCAAUUUGCUUUUACAAUUCUGUUUCCUUUUACAAAAAAAUUUACACUUAUUGAACAUUACAUAAAUAUAAAUACUGGCAUGCUCUGUAAUAAAUAUAUGAAUAUUUAAACAGUUAAUUUAUAAUUAGGACCAUAUUAAUAAUAAUUCAUGUCGACACUGAAGUGCUUACUACUAGACUGUUGUAACCUCGGGGAAUAAAAACUUCACAAGCAGUGGCAUCGACUCACUGGUUGUAAAUAAACUCAUCAUAGAUACCAGAAUCAAUUUGUCAAGACGAAACUUUUACAUCCGUAAAAUACAUGUUUAAUGAAAAACCCAUAUGUAUUUUAAGUAUUCGGACCGUAAAAUGAAGAUAAAUGAUAAUAAGUAUUCCCAAAAUUGUAUUGUCUUUCUAUUUCUAGUAUUGCGGACAAAAAAAAGAGAAAUAUAAGACACAUCUGUUGUACCACAAAUCUUUGCAACAAAUACAAUUUAGGUACAAAACAGUCAACCACCAUGGUUACAAAAACCACAGUAUACCACUACUGUCCGGCAGAUCACAAAACAACCAGCGACUACGCAGAUAACACAAGCUCCACCUACUACAAAAUUAACUACUACAGUCCUACCAACUACAGCAAGGUUACAACAAACAUCACGUAUGCUCAAACAUAGUAGAAUUCGGAAAUUAAUUUUAAUUAAAGAAUAUAUUCCCCUCAUGUAAAGCUCGUAUUUAUUGUCUGGAUUCGGUCAUAGUUAUUUUUUUUCUGAUUUGUCACCUGAAACAUUAGUAUAUAUUUCGGAUAUUUAAAGAUGUUGACCUCGAACAUUACCGAAGAAACAUUAAUUUUCGAAAUGAACAUCUGGGCACUAGUGCAUUAAAAUUGGGAUAGGUUUGUAUUAUUCAAGCUUUAUUCAUGAAUUGCCUUCUUUUUUAUAUAUCCUAAACCGUUAUCUUAUUUUUUUUCAAGUUGAAUUUCCAUGCACAACUAUUAAGAAGGAAUACUUACAAAUACCUUCAAAUUAACAAUUAUUGGUAAAAACUUGUUAUAAAAAUUACCGAAUUCAGACAGUAGGGAUACAAUAAAACGUGACAUUCAACGGAGCGACUGCAAAACAACUGCCAUAUGCAUGGCUUUAAACUCGUAAAAAAAAAUCACCAACAUUAUUUGAAUAAUAAUUUAUAUUAUUUUAGCAAAUAAUCAAUGCACUGUGCAUGGUUACCAUCUUUGGAGAGUUCACUGUUAUUUCAUAAUUGAUAUGCCUGCAAUUUGGGCAGGAGGAAACGUAGGAAACCACCACAUAGUAAGUAUGACUAACACAUAUAUAUAUAUAUAUAUUUAAAUUGUUCAAAAUCUCAGAACUACUGUUGCUUUUAUUUAUUUAUCCCUUAUUUUAUAAAUUUGGAAUUAACAUUGUGUCAAAUUUAUUCAUUCAGUGUAUGUUCACUAGUGUUAAUAUAUCUUUUGAUCGAGUUAAGCCAUUUCAAUUGAUAUUUUAUUGUGUGUCUUUCUAUGUUGUGAUGUUACUCUAUUAUUUCAGAUAAGGGGUGAAGGUUGGUACGUAUUGGAAUGUGUAAAACCACUGUAUAUGUUUGCACCUAUCCUAAGUCAGGAAUCUGAUGUUCAGUUAUUGUCGUUUGUUGAUGUGGUCCUUUUCUCGUUUUUCAUAUAGAAUAAACCGUUGUUUUUUCUCGUUUGAAUGGUUUUACACUAGUCAUCUUUGAGGCCCUUUAUAGCUUGAUGUGCGGUAUGAGCCAAUACUCCGUUUUAAAGACCUUACUUUGACAUAUAUUGGUUUAUGUUUUGUGCAAAUUGUUAUUUGGAUUGAGAGUUGUCUCAUCGGCAUUCAUACCACAUCUUUUUAAUACAAAUGUAUCUAUAUAGCAUGUAAAUGCACCAAGCUCUUUUUAUGCUUUAAACCUUAAUUUGUGUUGUCGGUCGGAUCGACUAGUUCACAAUAAAACAGACAAAUUGAUAAAUUCAUUGCUUACAUCAAUAUGAAUCAAUUGAAAAUAAUAUAAUUUCAAAUGGAUACACUUUUUGUUUUUGGACUUCUUUAAAUGCAGUGUAUUUUAAUUUUGUAAUUAAUUAGAACGAUGUGUUCUUUGUAAGUAAAAUUGUAACCACUUAUACGCACUACAUUUCAGGAUCCUUGCCAAACCCUUAACAUGCAUAUGGUGAAAAUAAACACAGACAGCGAGCAUAAUGUGAUUGUCAAUUUUGUUAGGAACAUAUAUAAUUGUAAGAUAUCAUUAAAGACAUCAGAUAGAACAAAAUGAUGAAGUACUGACUAUUUAGGUUAUACAAAUUAUUUAGUCUUGAUAUGUGUAUUAAAAAAACCAAUAACAACACGCUGAAAUAUCAUACGUCCGAAGCGCUUUUCUAGAUUUAGCUUCAACAUGCAAAAAGAUAUGAUUUUAACCAUUUUUAAAAUUUCUCGCGACUGGUGUUGAAGGUCUGCACGUUAGAGUGCUAUUGUUACAUCUCUACGAGGUGUCCGUAACUGAUAAUUAAAGGAAACAGUAGAAGUAGGGACUACAAAUCUGUUAAAUUUAUUUUAUUCAAAUUAUCAGAUUUUCAAUAACUAUAAAGUGAUACAACCGUAUGGCGACUGGUUUUGAAAAUAGUCAACGGUACUAUCACACAUUACCCUCAGCAAUGGAGUCAUGAGACCACAAAAAGUCAUUCAAACCACGGUCUAGUAAACACUUUAAUAUUGAAUUGUCGAGUUGGCUCUUAUAAUGAUGAAUAGAGAUGUUGUUCUCAAUUUGAAGGUUUGCAUGUCGAGGAAAUAUUUACAUGGAAGGCAUUUACCACUUAAGUUAACGAAGACUUCAGUGCAAUUUCCUAUCAUUAACAAUGCUAAGGACAUUAGCUGCGUGCACGUAUAUUAUUAUUUCACGUAUAUUAACAGGCAAAUGACAUAAAGGGCCACUCAUAUUGUUGUCAACGGAUUAUGGUAUGUCUUAGGAUGCUUUAAUGACAUGUCCCAACAUUAAAUGUAGCCGAAAAGAAAACAACCAAAACCUGAUUUUUGUAUAUGCAACUAAAGAAUAAGCGUCUGCUUACCGUUCAGGAGCAUCUAGGACCCUCACACGUUUUUUGUGGGGUUUAUAAUGCUCAGUUUGAUAAGUUUUAAAGACAUUGUAUGGUGAACUUGUUUGUUUUUUUGGUCGUCAUUCGUUUAAUAUAUAUAUAUACACCACUCUAUCAUACUGAUGUAUAAACAUUUUAAAAAUUAGUCUGCUGCUUAUUGUAAUCUGUUUUGUAUAAUUAGACCCAGGUGACGUUUGGCUGGGUGGUUCAUAUCAUCGAAACACUUGGAUGUGGAAGAAUAGCGAAGAAACCAUAGACGUCCAUAACAAACAUUGGAAACCAGGACACCAUCAUUUUCAUUGUCUUGCUUUACAUGGAAAUCAAUGGAUUACCUACCCAUCACUGCAAUGAGAAGUACAAGUCUUUGUGUGAAAAAGUCGUGAAAUAGAUG
Molecule: long non-coding RNA, 3978 nt
Filed under: Mytilus galloprovincialis (Mediterranean mussel)
Lineage: Eukaryota; Metazoa; Mollusca; Bivalvia; Mytilida; Mytilidae
Source: RNAcentral